RNAcentral lists this transfer RNA (70 nucleotides) under Vaillantella maassi. Its description in RNAcentral is "tRNA-Pro". It matches the Rfam family "tRNA". From Rfam's summary of the family: Transfer RNA (tRNA) molecules are approximately 80 nucleotides in length. Lineage: Eukaryota; Metazoa; Chordata; Actinopteri; Cypriniformes; Vaillantellidae. The record is from RNAcentral.
CAGAAAAUAGUUUAGCUCAGAAUCCUGGCUUUGGGAGUCAGGGGUGGGAGUUAGAGUCUCCCUUUUCUGG